GGCCCCGCGUCAGGGCACGCGCCCGCGCGCCUCCCGCAGUCCGCCAGCCGGGCCCACGGCCCCGCGGGGUCUCUUCGCGCCGCCCCGGACACAGCCCGGCUGCCACGGCCGGUCCCGUCACGCGCGGCAGCCUCGCGCCGGCCCGGCCGUCUGUCGCGCGCGCACAGGCGGCUGCCCAGCCCACCGUCCCGCACAGGCCCGGCCGCGGCGGCUCCUUCCGAAGCCCGCUAGCGGGGCGACGCCCGCGCGGCCACCGGGAAAAGAAGUGCAGGCCCGGGGCGCCUCCCGGGGCCCGCCGGCCAAACCCGGUACCUGGGAGGGCUGCCGGGCUGAGGGGACCAGGCCAGGCCGGGCCGCCUAAGACCGGCGGCGGCGGCGGCGGCGGCGGAGGAGGAGGCGAGUCCUCCGCGCGCCCUCUCCAGGGCGGGGCGGGGGCGGGGCCACCCGGUGAUUGGUCGGCAGGCUCUGACGGACAGUCUGCGUGUCCCGCCUCUCCCCCCUCCCUUCCCGGGGCAGCCGGGGGCGGCCCCGCCGGCGGCGCCUGCGACCGUCAGACCCACGAUUUUCCCGGCCCUGCGGCCGAAGUGGCCUCGCGGGUGUGUGUGGAGAGUCCCGUUAUUCGGAGUAGUCCACAGGCCUGAGCAUGCCCCUGCGAGCCCUCCAGUGGUCUUGGCCUGGUCAUACACUUCGCACCCCCACGCCGCGAGUAUCCACGCGACUAGGAUGGGGACUCAGGCCCUACGGCUCCGCACCAUUCCUGCAAAUGCUCUCCCGAGCUUUGGUUUUCCCGGGCCGACUCUAUCCUUGUUUUCCUCCUCGGUCUCUGGCCGCUGCCUUUCGACACCUCGGCAACUUCUCUUCCUCCGGGGUGGGUCCUGAGUCAGUUCCCAAGGCGGCCUGACCCUUCUCUCGGCGUCACAGCCCCCCGCCCCCUGCCAAAUUCAGGCACCCGAGCGCCGAAGCUCUAUCCCUCCCUGCAUCCCGUUACCUGUUCCACGACCCCACGUAGCACGGACAUCUCACAUCUCUCUUCAAAUUGCUUCUCCCAUGGUCUUCAGUUUCUCAGAACAUGCCUCUGACGCACCCCGGGCCGUCUAAUUGCCCUGUCACAGAACACCGCCCAAACUAAAGACACCUUCAGUCACAGUAGAGCCUGUCUGACGGAUGUUGAGCCAGACGAAGCAGGACAGCAUACUGCAUUUCACAGAUACUGGGAAGAGGAUGACACGUGAAAGCUGUUUAUCAAAUGGAUCCUGUGCCAGGUUGUCACCUCCAUCCCAAGAAUCCUGCAGGAGAUACUGUUUAUGAAGCUGAGACAAGAGUCCCUACAUCUACUGACUUCAGAUCAUUCCUCAGAUUCUACCAGCACUCUGAGAAGAGCUGCUAAGUCCUCCAGAAAAAAAAAAAAAAAAAGAUGCA
Molecule: long non-coding RNA, 1419 nt
Organism: Capra hircus (goat)
Lineage: Eukaryota; Metazoa; Chordata; Mammalia; Artiodactyla; Bovidae
Exons: 3
Source: RefSeq, a predicted model, not a curated record